UCCUACGGGGCGCAGCAGUGGGGAAUAUUGCACAAUGGGGGAAACCCUGAUGCAGCGACGCCGCGUGAGUGAAGAAGUAUUUCGGUAUGUAAAGCUCUAUCAGCAGGGAAGAUAAUGACGGUACCUGACUAAGAAGCCCCGGCUAACUACGUGCCAGCAGCCGCGGUAAUACGUAGGGGGCAAGCGUUAUCCGGAUUUACUGGGUGUAAAGGGUGCGUAGGUGGCAGGGCAAGUCAGAUGUGAAAGCCCGGGGCUCAACCCCGGGACUGCAUUGGAAACUACCGAACUAGAGUGUCGGAGAGGUA
RNAcentral lists this ribosomal RNA (305 nucleotides) under uncultured bacterium. RNAcentral's name for it is "bacterial SSU rRNA". It matches the Rfam family "Bacterial small subunit ribosomal RNA", at positions 337 to 659 of the family's 1533-position model. The record is from RNAcentral.